RNAcentral lists this ribosomal RNA (253 nucleotides) under uncultured bacterium. RNAcentral's name for it is "partial 16S ribosomal RNA". It matches the Rfam family "Bacterial small subunit ribosomal RNA", at positions 524 to 776 of the family's 1533-position model. The record is from RNAcentral.
UACGGAGGGUGCAACCGUUGCUCGGAAUCAUUGGGCGUAAAGCGCAUGUAGGCGGUCGGCUAUGUCGGAUGUGAAAGCCUCGGGCUUAACCCGAGAAGUGCAUCCGAAACUGGCCGGCUUGAGUACGGAAGAGGGUCUCGGAAUUCCCGGUGUAGAGGUGAAAUUCGUAGAUAUCGGGAGGAACACCAGUGGCGAAGGCGGAGACCUGGGCCGAUACUGACGCUGAGAUGCGAAAGCGUGGGGAGCAAACAGG